RNAcentral lists this ribosomal RNA (486 nucleotides) under uncultured bacterium. RNAcentral describes it as "bacterial SSU rRNA". It matches the Rfam family "Bacterial small subunit ribosomal RNA", at positions 28 to 534 of the family's 1533-position model. The record is from RNAcentral.
GAUGAACGUUGGCGGUGUGCCUAAUACAUGCAAGUCGAACGGAGUUGAUAGCAAUAUUAACUUAGUGGCGAACGGGUGAGUAACGCGUUGGUGAUCUGCCUCGAAGUGUGGAAUAACGUCCCGAAAGGAACGCUAAUACCGCAUGUGCUCUCGAUUUUUUAGAAAGUUGAGAGUAAAGGAUUUAUUCGCUUCGAGAGGAGCCUGCGUCCCAUCAGCUAGUUGGUAGGGUAAUGGCCUACCAAGGCUCUGACGGGUAGGGGACCUGAGAGGGUGGCCCCCCACAAUGGAACUGAAACACGGUCCAUACACCUACGGGUGGCAGCAGUAGGGAAUAUUAGAAAUGGACGAAAGUCUGAUCUAGCGACACCGCGUGUGCGAUGAAGGCCUUCGGGUUGUAAAGCACUUUUGAGAGGAUGAGGAAGGACGGUACUCUCAGAAUAAGUCUCGGCUAACUACGUGCCAGCAGCCGCGGUAAGCACGAGAGUA